RNAcentral lists this long non-coding RNA (239 nucleotides) under Gallus gallus (chicken). Lineage: Eukaryota; Metazoa; Chordata; Aves; Galliformes; Phasianidae. The record is from RNAcentral.
CCUCUCUCCCCUACGUCAGUGCCAAAGCCUUGCUCCAGUGCAGAGAUGAAGCCCAAAGCACCUGCAGCCUUUGCAGCUGCUAUGAUCUCCUCCUCUUCGCAGUCCUCCAUCCCGUAGGCAAUGUUAUCCCGAAUGGAGCCAGAGAAGAGCACGGGUUCCUGCCCCACCAGUGCCACCUGGCGGUGCAGGUAGCGGUGCUCGUAGUCCCGCAGCGGCACCCCGUCCAGCAGCACUUCCCC